RNAcentral lists this long non-coding RNA (3845 nucleotides) under Phoenix dactylifera (date palm). Its description in RNAcentral is "long non-coding RNA (PDAC_LNC001508)". The record is from RNAcentral. Lineage: Eukaryota; Viridiplantae; Streptophyta; Magnoliopsida; Arecales; Arecaceae.
ACAACUCAAUACUAAAUAUAAUUAAAGUAAUUUACAUACUCUGUCAUUAAAUCCAUACCUGAAAACAUUCUUUUCCUCAUUAUAUUCUUCAUGCUCUGAGCUUGCAAGAACAUCUGAAUUUUUCUUUAAUUGCAGCAUGCGUUGCAGUUGGUGUAUGUAGGACUUCUGGUCAUGGCAUCGGCAUGGAUAGGUACAUCCUGGAAGUUUCAAGCUCACUGAUGUUAAUAAAUGCAGAUAAUGUUACUGUAAUUUCUGAACUAUCUCAUCCUUAUUGAUUCAUCACCAGAGGGCUUUUUUGGAGAAAAAAAACAUUAUAGGCAUAAUUGACUUCAACUGAUUUCAGAAUCUGCACAUUAAACAUAUACAUCGGUGCUAUUUGCUCCGCAUGGAUUCCGAGAGGAACUUGUUUUCAUGUGUAUCAAUCUCAAUCGUUUGGGUAAAAUAACUGUCAGCAUUCUUAAAUCAAAUGACAUCUCAUAAAUAUACAUGCAGGGGUAGCAUUUUGGGCAGAAACUGGAGAAAGACAAACAGCUCGUUUGAGAGUUAAGUACAUUCAUUCAGUUUUAAAACAAGACACGAGCUUUUUUGAUACAGUUGCCACAAAUGAGAACAUACUUCAGCGUAUCUCAAGUGAUGCAAUCCUUGUGCAAGAUGCCAUAGCUGACAAGGUAAACGCAUCAAAAAAUUUAUAUAUUGGUUCCUAAACUACUUCAAGGCACUAUUUAUAUAUGCUUAAUCUGAUGUCUUGGAAAUCUACAAAACAAGAAUCAAGAAACUUAAUAUUGACGCAGGUGUUUCAGAUGAUAGACAUUAUGUUAGAGUCAAGUUUUAGAGUCAAAAGAAAGCACUGCUGCAAUGAUGCAUCCUAUUAAUGCAAACGCCCUAGCUGAGGCUAUAGAAUUUGGCUUGAUUUCAGAUCUCUUGUCAAGGAGUUCGAUAAUUUGCGUAAUAUCAAUGAAGAAACUAAAUUUUUUUCCUUGUAUUUUAUGCAGUUAGGCCACUCUUUACGGUACCUUUCCCAAUUUUUCAUUGGAUUUAUCAUGGGAUUUUCAUCAGUAUGGCAGCUUACAUUACUCACUCUAGCAAUUGUUCCAUUAGUGGUCAUUGCUGGUGGCACAUAUACCAUAAUAAUGUCCAGUUUGUCAAGGAAGGGUGAGGCUGCGUAUGCUGAAGCAGGGAAAGUUGCAGAAGAGGUAGCUGUUUUCAACCUCGUGUUCUUGUAAAUUUAUUUGUUACUGCAUCUAUGUCAACUGUUUCUAUGCAACACAAAACAUCUUUAAAAUGUUGUGAAGUAGAUUCCAUCUGGCAACAGAAUGUUUAUGCUAGAUAAGUCCAUGCAUAGUUAUAAAAAUUUCGAUGAUAAUAUACAAAAUCAUUCAAAUAAGUAAUUAAACUGCUACCGACAAGAAAAUCGUUUGCACAGUUUCUAUUUUGACAAGGCCAUGGAGGUAAACUGAAGCCUAUAGUUCAAGAAAAAGACAAUGCUACCUUAUCAAAGCCGCGUAGAUUUUGGUUGAUGAAGUAGCUUUCAUUUAUUCUCUGUUAAUAAAAGCAACAGUCCAAGACAUGUUCUGUUUCCCUGCAAAGAAGUAUAAAAGCCUGGGAAUGGUAAUCUGUCUAUUGAUGUGUGACAUUCUUCUACAAGGACUAAGCUUAAGAUGCAGUGAUUCCAAAUUCCACCACACUGAGUUUAGGCAGCCAGAUUGUUUUUCCAUGGGCUCUUGAGCUGACAUUAUCAACACAAAGUUUAUUUCACUUAUAAGGCUUAGUGCAACUUCUAACCUUGUCCUGGAUCAGGUGAUCUCACACAUCCACACUGUGUACUCAUAUGUUGGGGAAGAGAGAGCAAUUGAAGCUUACUCAAGGUCACUUAAAACUUCCCUGAAGUUUGGUAAGAAAAGUGGGCUUGCGAAAGGACUGGGGUUGGGGUGCACAUAUGGCUUAUUAUUCUGCUCAUGGGCAUUACUUCUUUGGUAUGCUGGAAUCCUAGUUACCCAUGGAGUAACCAAUGGUGGUAAAGCAUUCACAACAAUACUAAAUGUUGUCUUCAGUGGCUUGUAAGCUCUACUCAAUAAAUUAAAAAAAAAGAAAAAUUUUGUGGUUAUUUCUCUUUGUUCUGCCUGUUGAAAGGAUAGUUUCUGUUGUGUAGUGCUCUUGGACAAGCAGCUCCAAACCUCAGCUCUUUUGCAAAAGGUCAGGCUGCAGCUAAAAACAUUCUCAGCAUAAUAGCAAAGGUUCCAGAAUAUUCAGGAACAUCAGAGAAUGGAUUAGUCUUACCAGAAAUUGCUGGCCAAAUUGAGUUCUGUCAAGUAUCCUUUAACUAUCCCUCGCGGAAGGACAUGGUAUUCAAUGAUCUAAGUUUUUCAAUUAGUGCUAGUAAAACCAUUGCAAUAGUGGGCCAAAGUGGAUCAGGAAAGAGCACUAUCAUUUCUAUCAUUGAAAGAUUCUAUGAGCCAACAUCAGGUGCACAUCUAUUGCUAAUCUGCUAUUAGAAAAUUAUGAAAGGAGCAUGUUAAAGACAUUGUACAAACAGAACUAAAACGCCAUACAAAAGCUUAUUUUAUAUUGGAAUACUUGCUAGGUAAAGUGCUGUUGGAUGGCCAUGAUAUAAAGAACCUCCAACUGAAGUGGCUAAGGAACCAGAUGGGACUUGUCAGUCAGGAACCAGCAUUGUUUUCUACUUCUAUUGCUGAAAAUAUUAUAUAUGGAAGAAAAGAGGCAGACAUGGAAGACAUUGAAGAGGCUGCAAAAGUUGCAAAUGCUCAUUCUUUCAUACAAGAUUUACCUGAUGGCUACUUAACUAAGGUUAGUGCUGCAUCUGAGACCAUCUCCGCAAUAUGCCUCGAGUCGUUAUAUAUUAAUAAACAACUGAUGCUCUCUCUCUCUCUCUCCCUGCCUCCCUCCCUCCUCCAAUUUAAGGUGGGAAUGGGGGGAAUGCAGCUUUCUGGAGGACAGAAGCAGCGAAUUGCCAUUGCCAGGGCAUUACUAAGAAAUCCUAAAAUUCUGCUGCUGGAUGAAGCCACGAGCGCUCUGGAUGCAGAAUCUGAAUGCCUAGUUCAGCAUGCAUUGGAGAAAGUAAUGUUCAACAGGACAACAGUCAUAGUUGCACACAGGUUAUCUACAAUCAGCAAUGCUGAUACUAUUAUGGUGUUAAAAAAUGGCAAAAUUGCUGAAUGUGGGACACAUAUGGAACUAAUAUCCAAGGGACAGAAUGGAGAGUAUGCCAUGCUGGUCGGUACUCAGGCACCAGUAAAUAACAAAGAGAGGCACCCGGAUUAUAGUAAGGAUUCAGCGUAAGAGCAUUUGGAUUUACAUUUUUAAAUUUCAUGAUAUUUUUUGAGGGAAAAACAUGAUAAAUCAUGGUCUCAUGGUUGCUGAUAUCCGACUAACUCCAAGUUGGAAUUGUUUUCUUCAGGGUUUCUUGUGGAACAUCACCUAAUGUUCCUGAAAAUGAACUAAAGUAUGAGAAAGAGAAUUCCGUGAUCAUAAGAGAUCAGGAGAGCCAAGAAUCUUGUUGUCCACCUAGGUCAGCAUCAAUACCAUCAAUUUGGACAGUGUUUAAACUAAAUAAAUCAGAGUGGUCAUUUGCAAUACUGGGAUCAGUUGGUGCAACAUUAGCAGGUGUAGAAGGUCCUCUGUUUGCUCUAGGGAUCACACAUGUCCUGACUGCAUUUUAUUCGCAUGAUAAGAUACAGAUCAAGCAUGAGAUUAAGAUGGUUUCUCUCAUUUUCAUCGGAGCAGCAAUUAUAACUGUACCCGUAUAUCUCUUGCAACAUUACUUCUACACAUUAAUGGGAGAGAAGCUUACCACUCGUGUUCGCCUCCUUAUGUUCUCAGGUUUUAAU